UGAUCGGGGGUCGGUGUGCUGAUCGGGGGUCGGUGUGCUGAUGGUUUGAUUGAGUCGGGGGAAAGUGGGUCAGUGGGAAGUUUGUGUUGUUGUUAGGAAGAAGUCGGAGCGGCGCUGCGGGUUGCACAGGAGGAGGUUCGCCCCAGAGAUGAUCCUUGAAGGCGCACAUAGUGCAGACCCGCAGCACAGCUGGAAAGUUUACAGACCAGGCUCAGAUUAUAAUCUAGUGUGUUUGGGACAUCUGGAGGAACGUCUUCUCUGCUGCUGAGGAGGAGCAGCAGGAGCUCCGACCUGCAGCCCAGCGGCACUCCCUCACCCAGGUACACCCUGGGAGUGUCGUCAUCAUUGUUAAUAUUCUUGAUAUUGAAAGUGUGAUGAUGCUGCUUAAAGCUGGGGGAGGGGUCAGCUUGGCUUGUCAUCUGAACUCAGUAAGUUUUGUCUUUGUACGUUUAUUUCAAAUCAGCUUGCGUGGAAGCAGUCUGGACUCACUGAGCGAUGAUUGGCUGCUCUGGUUUCCUGGUGUUUGGUGUUGUCUGUAUGUUUUUCAUGCAGAACAGUAAAAAAAAAAACACUCAAAAUAUUUAAAAAAAACAAAGAAACACAUCUUUGUAAAACUGUGUCCUCAGUGAAAAUGAGCCCACCACACUCCGACUCCUCCUCUGAAGCGAGCCUCCAGCUGGUGAUUGGCUGAAAUAUCUCCUCCACGCUGAUGACACUGUUUACAUCACAGGCGCCCCCGUGUCUGUUUGCCGGUUUGCAGGCAGUCGCUAGGUGCCGGGCAAACUGACUGUCGUUGCUGUUUCAGUCGCUGCAGGGCAGGCGUUGCCACAGAAUGUGUCAGCGGACCUGAUUGGCUGGUGACAAGUGCAACGAGCAGGUGCAUCAAAGGUAACAGGAAGUCCUGAACGCCGUGGAGCUUUAGCAGCAAGCAGAUAGCAGGAAGUGUCCUCCUCCCAGCGCAUCAGCACCAGCGUGUUUCUGUCACAGGUGAACAUUUCAAAAGAAUGAGGUCACCUCAUGGUGGGUGGAGCUUUCUAACACCUGAGCCAAAUACAAGCUGUUCUUCUCUAAACUGUCCACACAGACAGAAGCUGAGGACACGGCGCUUUUCCAAAAAUCAAUCAGAAACAGUGAAUGAUCAGGCUGGACGAGGUUUGGUCAGAGCACCAACCUGGGUCACCUGACUCUGAACACCUGACCCAGAGCCGCACCUGAAAGUUCAUUCUAAAUAAUGGCGUGUGUGUGAUAAACAGGUGUGCAGUGUUAGGCGUGCAGCAGACGUCCAGGUGUGGAGACAAACACCACAUGCUAACCAUGCGUCCAUGUCUCACAGCUCUGUGUGCGCUCUGAGUCUGCCGUGAAUCUUCGAGGCGCUGAGUUGUUGUUGAGCGCGGCGAGUUCAACUUUGAAGACGAGCUCAGACGAAACAAAAGGCAGUAAAAGUUGUCCGCGCUGCAGCUGACAGAUCCUGCGAGCACCUGUGGGACAGGUGCGAUGGAGGGGGUCGGUGCUGCCCGUCCUUCAGCUCUUUAGUCUGAUUGGUUGUAGAACUCUGUGAUGAGUGAGCUGCACUCACCGAGCUCAAUAUCAGAUUAUGAG
Long non-coding RNA from Haplochromis burtoni (Burton's mouthbrooder), 1599 nucleotides. RefSeq lists it as uncharacterized. The transcript has 2 exons. The record is from RefSeq and is a predicted model, not a curated record. Lineage: Eukaryota; Metazoa; Chordata; Actinopteri; Cichliformes; Cichlidae.